UGUCAUCUAUUAGAUUAAUAAAAGGUUCAAACAGAGUUUUACACACAAAGUCAGCAAAGGUAUACAACCUUUCUGAAAUCAUAAGCCGGCGUAGAAACAAGAUACUACCCAGAAACAAGGACUGAAGCAAACACUUACCCCCAAGAAACUAACUUAAACUAAGGAGAACAAGAUAACUAAGCGCCAAAGGAGAAUAACCAUACAAUCAAGGAAGGCGAAGCAACCAGCGUUAGAAGCAGGAUUGAUCGAGAAAGCGUAGCAGGCCUAUAUUAUUGGGGUUGAAGGAGAAACCACGAACAAACACCACACUUACCAUUGCUUCACCUCAAAGAAGCCAAAGAAACAUCAAAUUCCAACCCGAGCAGCCAAUGAAGAUGCAUGUUAGGCAAUCAACUACUCCAAGACCUCACGCAAUUGAGCAAAAGCUCCACAGCCCCUUACCAAGUAAUCCGGAAGAACCCGUCGGUUGCAGACCAAGGGACAGCACAACUUCAUAACACUUGCACUUCACCCACUGAAAUCUAAAUGAACGACCGAGUGAAAACGGCGAAACGAAAGAUAACCACAAGAAAGUCAUCAUACGCUCCAAGGAUGAUAGCUUCUAUCCGGAGACCACAGAGAAGAACCUAACCGCAGACCCGAGAGAAGACACCAUCCACACUUGCCGCAGACCACACAAACUCCCAAGCGCUUAAGAAAUCUGAUUCUCAGGUUCACUGAUGCUCAUGCUCUGAGGUGUUUUUCUUCACAAACUUACUUUUUUUUUUGUCAUCUAUUAGAUUAAUAAAAGGUUCAAACAGAGUUUUACGCACAAAGUCAGCAAAGGUAUACAACCUUUCUGAAAUCAUAAGCCGGCGUAGAAACAAGAUACUACCCAGAAACAAGGACUGAAGCAAACACUUACCCCCAAGAAACUAACUUAAACUAAGGAGAACAAGAUAACUAAGCGCCAAAGGAGAAUAACCAUACAAUCAAGGAAGGCGAAGCAACCAGCGUUAGAAGCAGGAUUGAUCGAGAAAGCGUAGCAGGCCUAUAUUAUUGGGGUUGAAGGAGAAACCACGAACAAACACCACACUUACCAUUGCUUCACCUCAAAGAAGCCAAAGAAACAUCAAAUUCCAACCCGAGCAGCCAAUGAAGAUGCAUGUUUGGCAAUCGACUACUCCAAGACCUCACGCAAUUGAGCAUAAGCUCCACAGCCCCUUACCAAGUAAUCCG
RNAcentral lists this long non-coding RNA (1218 nucleotides) under Brassica napus (rape). Its description in RNAcentral is "long non-coding RNA (BNAP_LNC003706)". The record is from RNAcentral. Lineage: Eukaryota; Viridiplantae; Streptophyta; Magnoliopsida; Brassicales; Brassicaceae.